AUCCUUUUGUAAUUCAACAAUGUGAUGACUGGGCUUUCACACUCGUGUGAGAUGCGCCUCGCUCAAACCUCGUUAACAUCUGCACGGUACCUGUCUGAAG
Molecule: small nucleolar RNA, 100 nt
Organism: Gorilla gorilla gorilla (western lowland gorilla)
Lineage: Eukaryota; Metazoa; Chordata; Mammalia; Primates; Hominidae
Rfam family: Small nucleolar RNA U13
Source: Rfam